UGGAAACAGCUAUGACCAUGAUUACGCCAAGCUAUUUAGGUGACACUAUAGAAUACUCAAGCUAUGCAUCCAACGCGUUGGGAGCUCUCCCAUAUGGUCGACCUGCAGGCGGCCGCGAAUUCACUAGUGAUUAGAGUUUGAUCCUGGCUCAGGAUGAACGCUGGCGGUCUGCUUAACACAUGCAAGUCGAACGGACUCUUCGGAGUUAGUGGCGGACGGGUGAGUAACGCGUGAGAAUCUACCUUCAGGACGGAGACAACAGUUGGAAACGACUGCUAACCCCCGAUGAACCGAAAGGGCAAAUAUUUAUAGCCUGAAGAAGAGCUCGCGUCCGAUUAGCUAGUUGGAGAGGUAAAAGCUCACCAAGGCGACGAUCGGUAGCUGGUCUGAGAGGACGAUCAGCCACACUGGGACUGAGACACGGCCCAGACUCCUACGGGAGGCAGCAGUGGGGAAUUUUCCGCAAUGGGCGAAAGCCUGACGGAGCAAGACCGCGUGGGGGAAGAAGGCUCUUGGGUCGUAAACUCCUUUUCUCUGGGAAGAACAAAAUGACGGUACCAGAGAAUCAGCUCCGAUUCGGCC
This 582-nucleotide ribosomal RNA is filed under the name uncultured cyanobacterium. Its description in RNAcentral is "bacterial SSU rRNA". The stretch from base 126 to 582 matches the Rfam family "Bacterial small subunit ribosomal RNA", at positions 1 to 503 of the family's 1533-position model. Lineage: Bacteria; Bacillati; Cyanobacteriota. The record is from RNAcentral.